RNAcentral lists this long non-coding RNA (752 nucleotides) under Sus scrofa (pig). RNAcentral describes it as "lncRNA (ENSSSCG00060007516.1)". The record is from RNAcentral. Lineage: Eukaryota; Metazoa; Chordata; Mammalia; Artiodactyla; Suidae.
AUGCCAGCCUGUCGUCCAGCCUGCACGCCACCGCCCACUGGUGGAUUACGGGGAGAUUCUAAACAAAGUGAAAACAGGAGUUCCCGUCGUGGCACAGCAGAAAGGAACCUGACUAGGAUCCAUGAGGACACGGGUUCAAUCUCUGGCCUCGCUCCGGGGGUUAAGGAUCCGGUGUUGCUGUGGCUGUGGUGUAGGCCGGCAGCUGCAGCUCCGAUUCAACCCCUAGCCUGGGAACUUCUCUAUGCCGCGGGUUUGGCCCUAAAAAACCAAACAGACAAAAAACAAACAAACAAAAAAAGAAGUGAAAACAAAAAGUAUUACUCAGCAGGUGGUACCUACAAACACAUCAGAGCUGGUCUGUAAAGAAGCCACCACAGCUCAGCUCCACGGUGUCACCAAACUUGGCUCAGCGCCCUCAAGUCACAGGCACACGCCGACCCCCCCAUGUCACCCCAGGCCUCUGAAGUUGAUCUCCAGCCACGGCUGAAAUGGAAGCCACGAUGCGCUCCUUCAUCUCUGAAGACUUUGAGGAGUUCCCGCUCUGGCGCAGUGGGGUAAGAAUCCAGCUGCAGUCGCUGUGGAGGUGCAGUUCCAUCCCUGGCCCGGCGCAGUGGGUUAAAGGGUCCAGGGUUGCUGCAGCUGCAGCACAGGUCACAGCUGCAGCUCAGAUUUGAUCCCUGGCCUGGGAACUUCUACCUGCUAUGCAUGUGGCCAUGAAUAAAAAAGACAAAAAAAAAAAAAAAAAAGACUUU